GUGUCAGCCGCCGCGGUAAUACGUAGGUGGCGAGCGUUGUUCGGAUUUAUUGGGCGUAAAGGGUCUGUAGGAGGUUUGUUAAAUACGGGGUGAAAUCCCGAAGCUCAACUUCGGAAUUGCCUUGUAGACUGACGGACUGGAGUACCGGAGAGGUAAGCGGAAUACCAGGUGUAGCGGUGGAAUGCGUAGAUAUCUGGUAGAACACCAAAAGCGAAGGCAGCUUGCUGGACGGAAACUGACUCUGAAAGACGAAAGCAUGGGGAGCAAACAGGAUUAGAUACCCUGGUAGUCCAUGCCGUAAACGUUGUCAACUUGAUGUGGGGGGAUUUAGUCCUCUCCGUAUCGAAGCUAACGCGAUAAGUUGACCGCCUGGGGACUACGGCCGCAAGGCUAAAACUCAAAUGAAUUGACGG
This 413-nucleotide ribosomal RNA is filed under the name uncultured bacterium. Its description in RNAcentral is "bacterial SSU rRNA". It matches the Rfam family "Bacterial small subunit ribosomal RNA", at positions 505 to 916 of the family's 1533-position model. The record is from RNAcentral.